GCCGGGUGUGGUGGUGCACACCUGUAAUCCCAGCUACUUGGGAGGCUGAGGCUGGAGAAUCACUUGAACCAGGGACAUGGAGACUGCAGUGAGCAGAGAUCGUGCCACUGCACUCUAGCCUGGGUGACAAAGCAAGACUCCGUCUCAA
RNAcentral lists this small RNA (148 nucleotides) under Macaca fascicularis (crab-eating macaque). RNAcentral describes it as "Metazoan signal recognition particle RNA (ENSMFAG00000054743.1)". The record is from Rfam by way of RNAcentral. Lineage: Eukaryota; Metazoa; Chordata; Mammalia; Primates; Cercopithecidae. RNAcentral also lists the same sequence under 2 other names.